AUAUAGUUGACUUACUCUAUAAUAAGGUUCUAGUAUUAUAUUUAGCACGUAAGUGAUUAAGGUGUAGUUUUUUUUUUCCUCUCUUUUGCCUUUCUUAAUCCAUAAUCGUAUUAAGUUGAAUUAAAUUAUCGCUUUUAAUAACUGUAGUAAAUUACACAUCCCUUCUCUAUUCCGUGGUUUAUGUAAGCCUAAUUCAGUAGAUCCUGUGUGGUCUGUGUACUGUUGUCUGACUCCGUCAUUGAUUUUAUCCUGCCUGUUGAGCACAACAUCGUGGUUUGCUACCACAACGUUUUGGCUUUAUCGUAUCCAUCAUCAAAUUCGCCCAAACGUUUGUUGUUCUGAAAUAAAAAAAAAGAGGAAAAUUCUAGAAAUUUUCCCUUUUUUUUUGCUGGAGAAGAGGGAGAAUGUAGCGUUUACUUUACACUACCCCUCAAAAUUUUCUUGGCUACGCCUAUGAUAUAUGGAUCGGUACCAUCGGAUCGAAGCGCCGAUCGUUGACCGUAUCCGAGAAGCAAUUCAGUCUGGGUUCUACGACUGAGCGAACAACAUCGCUUUGAAUUUUAAGGUGGCAUCUGAGUUUAAAUAAAGAACACGUGGAAGCAAAUAAAUUAAUAUGUCCACAGGAAUAUAACAUCAAUAUCAGUUACAGCAACAUUGGAAGUCUUGAGUAAAUACCAAAAAGGAAAUAGCAACAAAUUUAAAUUUAAGUUUCAACCAGUAAUGCCGGUCAUUAUAAAACUCAGAUAGCCACCUUAAUUAUGGGACCAUCUCCUACUUUGGAGUACCCAAUUUUGCAUUGUUUUUGAAAGACAAAACCAUUACUUGAUUCCACAGCUACCAAUAUAGCAACUGUUUUGGCUACUAUCUCACAUCAAUCCAUCAGCUUUGUAUGUGGCAGUUCAUUACCUUCUGAUCGAUGAUCAUCUUAAGAGGACUUCAUUGGACAACAGUGUGUUUUUGAAAAGAUAAGGCUAUAUUUUUUUUAUUGUUACUUAAAUUCCUAAUAACUUUGAUUUUUGUGUACUUUUUGUAAACUGCUCUAUAUCGAUAUAAACCAGGUACAUUUUAUAGUUCUUUGUAAAAUAGGGGGGUUUGUUUUUCUCUUUAAGAGAGUUGUAUUUCAAGUAAAAGGUAAAUAAGUAAUGGUCAAUAAUAAUUCUAAAUAAAUUCAGGCAUAAAAUUUAAUAAGAAAGUAAAUACAUUAUUACAAGGAUUUUCACAUUUAAAUAUUAUUCAAUUUAUAUAUAUAUGUCAUUGAACCCGACUCAUUUCAAUAAAUUUCAGAUAUUUCCCAGCAUCUAUAGUGUAAGCGUAGUUCUUCCAUAUAGAUCUGGUAUGUAAGAUUUGGACACUUGAUAGUCCAGUUAGAUAUUAAGUACUAACAAUAUUAUUAAGACGUUGGCUAUUCUCACGGACUCAAUGCUACAUUUCUACUAAUACCUUUUUGCUUAGCGCAGUAGUGGUUUUUUUUUGUAUUUACUAGUGGCUUUUCGGUCGUAUUUUAUCUCAACACCCUACUGUUUUCAUGGUUUCUAUUUACCUAAUAUGUAAAUAAAGUAUGUAUACUUUUACUUACUUUAUAGAUUUAUUUAACAGAUAUUGUUUAAUAUAAAUAAAUUAUCAAUAUAUUUGUCAUUCAUA
This 1641-nucleotide long non-coding RNA is filed under the name Diabrotica virgifera virgifera (western corn rootworm). RNAcentral's name for it is "uncharacterized LOC126878825". Lineage: Eukaryota; Metazoa; Arthropoda; Insecta; Coleoptera; Chrysomelidae. The record is from RNAcentral.